RNAcentral lists this ribosomal RNA (414 nucleotides) under uncultured microorganism. RNAcentral's name for it is "bacterial SSU rRNA". It matches the Rfam family "Archaeal small subunit ribosomal RNA", at positions 330 to 745 of the family's 1478-position model. The record is from RNAcentral.
GUGCACCAGGCGCGAAACCUCCGCAAUACACGAAAGUGUGACGGGGCCAUCCCGAGUGCCGUCCGCUGAGGACGGCUUUUCCCCAGUGUACACAGCUGGGGGAACAAGGAGAGGGCAAGCCUGGUGUCAGCCGCCGCGGUAAUACCAGCUCUCCGAGUGGUGGGGACGCUUAUUGGGCCUAAAGCAUCCGUAGCCGGCUGGGCAAGUCCUCCGUUAAAUCCAACGAUUCAAUCGUUGGGCUGCGGGGGAUACUGUCCAGCUUGGGGGCGGGAGAGGCCGACGGUAUUCCCGGGGUAGGGGUGAAAUCCUAUAAUCCCGGGAGGACCACCAGUGGCGAAGGCUGUCGGCUAGAACGCGCCCGACGGUGAGGGAUGAAAGCUGGGGGGAGCGAACCGGAUUAGAUACCCCUGUAGU